This is a long non-coding RNA of Aedes aegypti (yellow fever mosquito), 1044 nucleotides long. RefSeq lists it as uncharacterized. The transcript is spliced from 3 exons. The record is from RefSeq and is a predicted model, not a curated record. Lineage: Eukaryota; Metazoa; Arthropoda; Insecta; Diptera; Culicidae.
CGUUCCGAACUGUUUUCGUGAUAUUACACAAAAUCUAUGCUUUUUCACAUUCAAUCCAGAUGUGAUAAUAAAUCGCGCAACACUGUCCGCAUGUUGUUGUUUGAUGGUCGACGGACGACGACGCCAUAUUUUUUUGUUCGAAGAUCUUCGCGUUUCAAUUUGAAUCUUUAUUAAAUAUUAGUGGUUUAUCGCGAACCUUUUAAAAUAAAAUUCGAAAGUCUAGUGCUUAAGAUAUAUGAAGUUUGGACCAGAAAGCAGCUAAAUUCAUCCGGUGCAAGGACCAUCAGCGGUAGCAACUCAAUGAAGGAAUCCGUGCCAGCAAUCUUGACGGACAAACCAUCGAAGGACAAAGUUAUUCCGAUGCAUCCGCUUUCACAGCCUAUCUUCCGCUUGUUCAAUGCGCCUGGCAAGGAGAACAAGAAACUUUUCGUCGGGGAAUCGGUUCCGAUCCGCGCUUGUGAGUGUCCCGCUUUCUGCAGAUGUUGGCCUUCCAGUCGACGCAAUAUUUUGGCGAGAAGGAUGUCUAUUUCAAGAAGCUGGAGAAACACGGCGGGAUUUGCGAUUGCUCGCGGGACACUAUUGUACAUACGGCCAACGCCGACAGCCGGAGACUGAAAUCGGUGUCACGGAUACUGGUCGAUGUCGUGUUGCUGAUGGUGCUAUGGCCGAAACUGACCAUCGAGGAAGUGAUCCGGGCAAGGCAAGGCAAGCGGUUAAAUUCUAGUUGGAAACGCUAGAAAAACACCCGGAGCAGGAAACGAUUUUGACGGACAGGAUCCAUGUGCCAGCAUUUAGAGACAACACUGCCGAAACUUUGGUAGCUGAAUAAUGUGAAAGGAUUGGCACGAAGCAUUUCAACGGGCUCUGCGAUCGUUUGCUGAGAACAUCUUGUACCAUGAACGUCUUUUGGCUAUCUGAAGAAGUUCAAUACAAUUCCUCGGGGUUAUCUCCUACGUUAGGCAUCCCAGCCAUUAUGUUUGAUCAUUCAUUUGAUUGUCUAGUGAAAUAAAAAUGUAAUGAAUAAUCAAAAUUUAUUAUUUUUUA